This 444-nucleotide ribosomal RNA is filed under the name uncultured bacterium. RNAcentral describes it as "bacterial SSU rRNA". It matches the Rfam family "Bacterial small subunit ribosomal RNA", at positions 331 to 792 of the family's 1533-position model. The record is from RNAcentral.
CCAGACUCCUACGGGAGGCAGCAGUGGGGGAUAUUGCACAAUGGGGGAAACCCUGAUGCAGCGACGCCGCGUGUGGGAAGACGGUCCUCUGGAUUGUAAACCACUGUCCCCAGGGACGAAGAUGACGGUACCUGGGGAGGAAGCUCCGGCUAACUACGUGCCAGCAGCCGCGGUAAUACGUAGGGAGCGAGCGUUGUCCGGAAUUACUGGGUGUAAAGGGAGCGUAGGCGGGACUGCAAGUUGGGUGUCAAAUCUACCGGCUCAACCGGUAGCCGCACUCAAAACUGCAGUUCUUGAGUGAAGUAGAGGCAGGCGGAAUUCCUAGUGUAGCGGUGAAAUGCGUAGAUAUUAGGAGGAACACCAGUGGCGAAAGCGCUUUACUGGACCAUUAUUGACGCUGAGGAACGAAAGCCAGGGGAGCAAAUGGGAUUAGAUACCCCGGUA